GAUGAACGCUGGCGGCGUGCCUAACACAUGCAAGUCGAACGGAGUCCAGCCUUUAAGACCUUCGGGUCAAAGAGGGGAAGACUGAGUGGCGGACGGGUGAGUAACACGUGGGCAACCUGGCUCAUAGAGGGGGAUAACAGAGAGAAAUUUCUGCUAAUACCGCAUAAGCACACACUGCCGCAUGGCAGAGGGUGAAAAGAGAAUCGCUAUGAGAUGGACCCGCGUCUGAUUAGCCGGUUGGCAGGGUAAGAGCCUACCAAAGCGACGAUCAGUAGCCGAUCUGAGAGGAUGAACGGCCACAUUGGGACUGAGACACGGCCCAAACUCCUACGGGAGGCAGCAGUGGGGGAUAUUGCACAAUGGGGGGAACCCUGAUGCAGCGACGCCGCGUGAGUGAAGAAGUAUUUCGGUAUGUAAAGCUCUAUCAGCAGGGAAGAUAAUGACAGUACCUGAAGAAGAAGCCCCGGCUAACUACGUG
RNAcentral lists this ribosomal RNA (478 nucleotides) under uncultured bacterium. RNAcentral's name for it is "partial 16S ribosomal RNA". It matches the Rfam family "Bacterial small subunit ribosomal RNA", at positions 28 to 507 of the family's 1533-position model. The record is from RNAcentral.